UAGGGAAUCUUCCGCAAUGGACGAAAGUCUGACGGAGCAACGCCGCGUGAGUGAAGAAGGAUUUCGGUUCGUAAAACUCUGUUGUUAGGGAAGAAAAAAUGUAUAGUAACUAUAUACAAAAGAUACGGUACCUAACCAGAAAGCCACGGCUAACUACGUGCCAGCAGCCGCGGGAAUACGUAGGUGGCAAGCGUUGUCCGGAAUUAUUGGGCGUAAAGCGCGCGCAGGUGGUUUAGAAAGUCUGAUGUGAAAGCCCACGGCUCAACCGUGGAGGGUCAUUGGAAGCUAAUAAACUUGAGUGCAGGAGAGAAAAGUGGAAUUCCUAGUGUAGCGGUGAAAUGCGUAGAGAUUAGGAGGAACACCGGUGGCGAAAGCGGCUUUUUGGCCUGCAAAUGACACUGAGGCGCGAAAGCGUGGGGAGCAAACAGG
RNAcentral lists this ribosomal RNA (429 nucleotides) under Verrucomicrobiota bacterium. RNAcentral describes it as "Verrucomicrobia bacterium partial 16S ribosomal RNA". It matches the Rfam family "Bacterial small subunit ribosomal RNA", at positions 355 to 776 of the family's 1533-position model. Lineage: Bacteria; Pseudomonadati; Verrucomicrobiota. The record is from RNAcentral.